Long non-coding RNA from Anopheles funestus (African malaria mosquito), 558 nucleotides. RefSeq lists it as uncharacterized. The transcript has 3 exons. Lineage: Eukaryota; Metazoa; Arthropoda; Insecta; Diptera; Culicidae. The record is from RefSeq and is a predicted model, not a curated record.
GGUGUCUUGGCUAAUGUGUCUUGGCUAAGGUGUCUCGGCUAAUGUGUCUUAGCUAAUGUGUCUUGGCUAAGGUGUCUCGGCUAAUGUGUCUUGGCUAAGGUGUCUUGGCUAAUGUGUCUUGGCUAAUGUGUCUUGGCUAAGGUGUCUUGGCUAAUGUGUCUCGGCUAAUGUGUCUUGGCUAAGGUGUCUUGGCUAAUGUGUCUUGGCUCAGGUGUCUUGGCUAAGGUGUCUUGGCUAAUGUGUCUUGGCUAAAGUGUCUUGGCUUAGGUGUCUUGGCUAAUGUGUCUUGGCUAAUGUGUCUUGGCUAAGGUGUCUUGGCUAAGGUGUCUUGGCUAAUGUGUCUCGGCUAAUGUGUCUUGGCUAAGGUGUCUUGGCUAAUGUGUCUUGGCUAAUGUGUCUUGGCUAAUGUGUCUUGGCUAAGGUGUCUUGGCUAAGGUGUCUUGGCUAAGGUGUCUUGGCUAAGGUGUCUUGGCUAAGGUGUCUUGGCUAAUGUGUCUUGGCUAAAGUGUCUUGGCUAAGGUGUCUUGGCUAAUGUGUCUUGGCUAAUGUGUCUUGGAU